Molecule: ribosomal RNA, 492 nt
Filed under: uncultured bacterium
Lineage: Bacteria
Description: partial 16S ribosomal RNA
Rfam family: Bacterial small subunit ribosomal RNA
Source: RNAcentral
AGUGAACGCUGGCGGUAGGCCUAACACAUGCAAGUCGAACGGCAGCACAGUAAGAGCUUGCUCUUACGGGUGGCGAGUGGCGGACGGGUGAGGAAUACAUCGGAAUCUACUUUUUCGUGGGGGAUAACGUAGGGAAACUUACGCUAAUACCGCAUACGACCUACGGGUGAAAGCAGGGGAUCUUCGGACCUUGCGCGAUUGAAUGAGCCGAUGUCGGAUUAGCUAGUUGGCGGGGUAAAGGCACACCAAGGCGACGAUCCGUAGCUGGUCUGAGAGGAUGAUCAGCCACACUGGAACUGAGACACGGUCCAGACUCCUACGGGAGGCAGCAGUGGGGAAUAUUGGACAAUGGGCGCAAGCCUGAUCCAGCCAUACCGCGUGGGUGAAGAAGGUCUUCGGGUUGUAAAGCCCUGUUGUUGGGAAAGAAAAGCAGCAGGUUAAUCCCCCGAUGUUCUGACGGUACCCAAAGAAUAAGCACCGGCUAACUUCGUG